GGCCNACCCAUGGUGGUAACGGGUAACGGGGUGUUAGGGCACGACACCGGAGAGGGAGCCUGAGAAACGGCUACCACAUCCAAGGAUGGCAGCAGGCGCGCAAAUUACCCAAUCCCGACACGGGGAGGUAGUGACAAUAAAUAACAAUACGGGGUUCUUUAGGAUCUCGUAAUUGGAAUGAGUACAAUUUAAAUCUCUUAACGAGGAACAAUUGGAGGGCAAGUCUGGUGCCAGCAGCCGCGGUAAUUCCAGCUCCAAUAGCGUAUAUUAAAGUUGUUGCAGUUAAAAAGCUCGUAGUUGAAUUUCGGGGUUAGUAGGUUGGUCAUGCCUCUGGUAUGUACUGGUCUCACUGAUUCCUCCUUCCUGAUGAACCGUAAUGCCAUUAAUUUGGUGUUGCGGGGAAUUUGGACUGUUACUUUGAAAAAAUUAGAGUGUUUAAAGCAAGCUAACGCUUGAAUACAUUAGCAUGGAAUAAUGAAAUAGGACGUUCGAUCCUAUUUUGUUGGUUUCUAGGAUUGACGUAAUGAUUAAUAGGGAUAGUUGGGGGCAUUAGUAUUCAAUUGUCAGAGGUGAAAUUCUUGGAUUUAUUGAAGACUAACUACUGCGAAAGCAUUUGCCAAGGAUGUUUUCAUUAAUCAAGAACGAAAGUUAGGGGAUCGAAGACGAUCAGAUACCGUCGUAGUCUUAACCAUAAACUAUGCCGACUAGGGAUCGGAUGAUGUUAAUUUUCUAAUGACUCAUUCGGCGCCUUACG
This 754-nucleotide ribosomal RNA is filed under the name uncultured Glomus. Its description in RNAcentral is "SSU rRNA". It matches the Rfam family "Eukaryotic small subunit ribosomal RNA", at positions 337 to 1092 of the family's 1831-position model. Lineage: Eukaryota; Fungi; Glomeromycota; Glomeromycetes; Glomerales; Glomeraceae. The record is from RNAcentral.